Molecule: ribosomal RNA, 535 nt
Filed under: uncultured bacterium
Lineage: Bacteria
Description: bacterial SSU rRNA
Rfam family: Bacterial small subunit ribosomal RNA
Source: RNAcentral
AAGUCGAACGAAGUAGCAAUACUUAGUGGCAGACGGGUGAGUAACAUGUAGGUAUCUACCCUUUGGCCUGGAAUAACACGAGGAAACUUGUGCUAAUACCGGAUAAGUCUUUACGGAGAAAGCUUUAUGCACCAUUGGAUGAGCCUGCACUUGAUUAGUUUGUUGGUGGGGUAAUGGCCUACCAAGACUGUGAUCAAUAGCUGAUUUGAGAGGAUGAUCAGCCACAUUGGGACUGAGACACGGCCCAAACUCCUACGGGAGGCAGCAGUGGGGAAUCUUGCACAAUGGAGGAAACUCUGAUGCAGCGAUGCCGCGUGAGUGAAGAAGGCCUUUGGGUUGUAAAGCUCUUUCGUCGGGGAAGAAAAUGACUGUACCCGAAUAAGAAGGUCCGGCUAACUUCGUGCCAGCAGCCGCGGUAAUACGAAGGGACCUAGCGUAGUUCGGAAUUACUGGGCUUAAAGAGUUCGUAGGUGGUUGAAAAAGUUAGUGGUGAAAUCCCAGAGCUUAACUCUGGAACUGCCAUUAAAACUUUUCA